RNAcentral lists this ribosomal RNA (406 nucleotides) under uncultured bacterium. RNAcentral's name for it is "partial 16S ribosomal RNA". It matches the Rfam family "Bacterial small subunit ribosomal RNA", at positions 30 to 526 of the family's 1533-position model. The record is from RNAcentral.
AUUGAACGCUGGCGGCAGGCCUAACACAUGCAAGUCGAACGAGUGGCGGACGGGUGAGUACUGUCUGGGAAACUGCCUUAUGGAGGGGUCUCUCUUCUGGCAACUGUCGCUACUCACGCAAUCCAUCGGUUUUGCCCAUAUGGGUUUCUCUAGUAGGUGGGGUAACGGCUCACCAAGGCGACGAUCCCUAGCUGGUCUGAGAGGAUGACCAGCCACACUGGAACGGAGACACGGUCCAGACUCCUACGGGAGGCAGCAGUGGGGAAUAUUGCACAAUGGGCGCAAGCCUGAUGCAGCCAUGCCGCGUGUAUGAAGAAGGCCUUCGGGUUGUAAAGUACUUUCAGCGGGGAGGCGUUACCCGCAGAAGAAGCACCGGCUAACUCCGUGCCAGCCGCCGCGGUAAUAC